Molecule: ribosomal RNA, 508 nt
Filed under: uncultured bacterium
Lineage: Bacteria
Description: partial 16S ribosomal RNA
Rfam family: Bacterial small subunit ribosomal RNA
Source: RNAcentral
GAUGAACGCUAGCUACAGGCUUAACACAUGCAAGUCGAGGGGAAACGAUAGAGAAAGCUUGCUUUUUCUAGGCGUCGACCGGCGCACGGGUGAGUAACGCGUAUCCAACCUGCCCACCACUUGGGGAUAACCUUGCGAAAGUAAGACUAAUACCCAAUGAUAUCUCAAGAGGACAUCUGAAUGAGAUUAAAGAUUUAUCGGUGAUGGAUGGGGAUGCGUCUGAUUAGCUUGUUGGCGGGGUAACGGCCCACCAAGGCGACGAUCAGUAGGGGUUCUGAGAGGAAGGUCCCCCACAUUGGAACUGAGACACGGUCCAAACUCCUACGGGAGGCAGCAGUGAGGAAUAUUGGUCAAUGGGCGAGAGCCUGAACCAGCCAAGUAGCGUGCAGGAUGACGGCCCUAUGGGUUGUAAACUGCUUUUAUAAGGGAAUAAAGUGAGUCUCGUGAGACCUUUUGCAUGUACCUUAUGAAUAAGGACCGGCUAAUUCCGUGCCAGCCGCCGCCGUAA